GACGAACGCUGGCGGCGUGCUUAACACAUGCAAGUCGAACGGAGAGGGCCUGCACGUAGAGUACCCGAAUGGCGAACGGGUGAGUAACACGUGGGUGAGCUGCCCUGCACUUCGGGAUAAGCCAGGGAAACUGGGGCAAACAACGGAUAGGAGCAAACUUUAGAGAGAUGGUUGGAAAGUGUUAUCGGUGUAGGAUGAGCUCGCGGACUAUCAGCUGGUGGGUGGGGUAAUGGGCUACCAAGGCGGCGACUGGUAGCCGGCCUGAGAGGGUGGACGGCCACAUUGGGACUGCGAUACGGCCCAGACUCCUACGUGAGGCAGCAGUGGGGAGUAUUGCACAAUGGGCGCAAGCCUGUUGCGGCGACGCCGCGUGGGUGAUGACCUCCUUCGGGUUGUAAACUCCUUUCGCUGGGGACGAAUCUUUUUGUGACGGUACCUAGAUAGGAAGCACCGGCUAACUACGUG
This 465-nucleotide ribosomal RNA is filed under the name uncultured bacterium. RNAcentral's name for it is "partial 16S ribosomal RNA". It matches the Rfam family "Bacterial small subunit ribosomal RNA", at positions 28 to 507 of the family's 1533-position model. The record is from RNAcentral.